UCCCGUAAUAUCAAGAAAUGGGAAUCACUCUUCUUUUCCUAGAUGAAAAGAGAUCUGUGAUCCACUGAUCCAUCGUUACGGACGGAUGGAUCACUACCGUCCCGGUUCCAUCGUCAAAGUUGAUAGGUUUUGAAGUUGAAAGAUGUUUAUCUGUUUAUAGCCUCUUACAAAGACUGGUCGUUGUCUUAUACGUCGGAUGCAGAAGGAAGUUGGACAAAUUUGGCACUUCUCUCUCUCUUGUAACAAAUAUGUUUCUCCCAACAUUACAGAUGUGAUCAAGUACAAAGGUAACAUCCUCACCCAUAAAAUAGGGGAACACGUUAUUCUUGGAUAUAUAUUAACACUUUUCAAACUUUUUUAAAAGUACCAUGUUGAACUAUACUUGCAACUACGGCAACGAUAGUGACAUAUGUGGUCUUCAACAGGGAGAUGACCAAGCUCACUAAGCAAGAUGCUUCUGCUCUGGCUCUUGAGGGAGUUCAUCUUUUGGUUUUACACUUCAUUUAACCCAUGUUUAGAACUGUAACAAGCACUAAUUGUUUCACAAACGUACUAUAGAUAAAUGGCGGUGGUGGGCAAGAACUACCAAGAUGUCUUUAAAAGCUUGCUGGCAAAGAAUACUUUUCUCAGAUACGUGCCACUCCAUACAAUUUUAUCCCAAACCACCGUGUCUGGGUCUGCAGUCAGUGACACAGAGAGUACCAGCAGCUUCAAAGCUCCAGUUAUUGGAGGGAAAGGUCGAGAAGCUACAGCUUCUGCAACCAACACGGUUCCAGCGGCGAAGAUAGAAAUCAGAGGCGAUGAAGCAAAUCCGGCAGGUUUUGAAGGCAAAUAUAAUAGCCGCAAACAACCCUAAGUGAUACUUCAGCAAUGUCCCAUAUAUAAAGGCAGCGUUGACAGGAUGUUCAAAACUAAAUGCAUCAUUUCAUGUUUACAUAGAAACAUUGAACUCGCGUAUACAUGCAUUUUGGCUAACUUAUUAUAAAUGUAAGUAAACUAUUUAGUUUUAAAUGAAUAUUAGAUCUUGACCCGCACAAUCGCGCGGAUAUUUGUUUUCAUUUUUAUCAUUAAUAUCAUAUAUUCUUAAUAUUCACUAUGUUUUAAAUAUUUAUAUAAUUUUCUCAAAUACAAUAAUGUUUUAAUUUGCAUAUUUGUCAUUCUAUCAAUUGUUUCAAACCAAUCAAAUUAAUAUGAUUUUUCCUAUUAUUAGUCAUCUUCUCUCGUCUUUCUUUUUGAUCUCUAAUCUAACGAUCGAUUCUCCAACCCUAAAAAAUAGAAGCAAUACUGUGAAGAUGAUUACUUAGUUCUGAACAUAGAACGAUUUUAUGUCUGUCGGUAAUCCCUAUGGACGUGAGUUAAUACUCUUAUGGUAUUCAGUCAUGUGUUUGACUUAUUAACUCACGUAUUACAAAGCAAGAAGAACUAUACACAAUAAAUGUAUAGCUUUAUAGAUGAACUGUUUAUAGAUGAACUAUAAAUGAAAUAACACAAUUGUUAAUCGUAUAUUAAUACCAUCAUAAUCUCAUUCCUAUCAUUGUACAAUAGUUUAGAUGUUUUAUUCAAACAAAAGUUAGUUAUAAAUAGAAGGGAAACGAUAUAGAGCUAUAUAUAUUGUUAAGAUUUUAUUAUGUAAAUACACAAAUAUAAUGUAAAACAAUUUUUUAAAGAGAUCCAUUUUAAAAUAUCACACAUGAAAGAAAUCAUGAUUUCUAUUUUAAUAGAUAAGAUUAUUAAUAAGGGUCCAUGUAACCCACUGAACCUUAAAAUUCAUUUGGUACUAAAGAUCUUCUACAACCAAGUGACAUCAGAGCCUAUUUAGUGUUUUCAGAUGCAGCCCACAAAUUUUACCAUGAAAAUUAUGGAUUUGAAACAGUUCCAUUGCAAUAGAAGUUGUAAUUUAAAACCAAAUAAAAACUGAGAUAAGCACAACCAACAACUUAACUAAAUUUAAACUUACACAAUAAUAUAUUAAAAAGAUUUGUAAUUUUAUAAUUUUAUAAAUUUCUAGAGCUAUUAAUUUUAUAAACAGUUUAUUAUAAUUAUAUAUUUUUAAAUUAAAUUUGGGUUUGUUCAAAAAAUAAAUAAAAUAAAUUUGGGUAAAAUAAGUAAAAUAAUUUAAUUUAAUGUUCGUAUACAUUGUUAAAUUUUAAAAUCCAAAUUUUAUAACUUUUUCUAUACAUUAUUUGAUUUAUAUACUACAACAACUGAGUAAACAUAAACAAAUCCCAUAGAACUCAAUUUUUGAACAUGAAAGGCGCUAAUAAAGUUAAUGGUCGAUCAAAUCACUACAAACAUGGGUAAAAUAUCCCUAAUACCCUUGGUUUAAAAUUAAAUAAACAAACAAAAAUAAAUAAAUAAAUAAAUAAAUAAAAAA
Brassica rapa (field mustard) is the source of this 2374-nucleotide long non-coding RNA. RefSeq lists it as uncharacterized. The record is from RefSeq and is a predicted model, not a curated record. NCBI's taxonomy places the organism in Eukaryota, Viridiplantae, Streptophyta, Magnoliopsida, Brassicales, Brassicaceae.